AUUGAACGCUGGCGGAAUGCUUUACACAUGCAAGUCGAGCGGCAGCGCGGGGCAACCUGGCGGCAAGCGGCGAACGGGUGAGUAAUGUAUCGGAACGUGUCCUGUCGUGGGGGAUAGCCCGGUGAAAACCGGAUUAAUACCGCAUACGAUCGAGAGAUGAAAGUGGGGGACCGCAAGGCCUCACGCGAUAGGAGCGGCCGAUAUCUGAUUAGCUAGUUGGUGGGGUAAAGGCCCACCAAGGCUUCGAUCAGUAGCUGGUCUGAGAGGAUGAUCAGCCACACUGGGACUGAGACACGGCCCAGACUCCUACGGGAGGCAGCAGUGGGGAAUUUUGGACAAUGGGGGCAACCCUGAUCCAGCCAUUCCGCGUGAGUGAAGAAGGCCUUCGGGUUGUAAGGUUCUUUUGUCCGGGAAGAAACGGUUUCACCUAAUACGUGAGACUACUGACGGUACCGGAAGAAUAAGGACCGGCUAACUACGUGCCAGCCGCCGCAGUAA
This 498-nucleotide ribosomal RNA is filed under the name uncultured bacterium. RNAcentral describes it as "partial 16S ribosomal RNA". It matches the Rfam family "Bacterial small subunit ribosomal RNA", at positions 30 to 523 of the family's 1533-position model. The record is from RNAcentral.